This 522-nucleotide ribosomal RNA is filed under the name uncultured Ferrimicrobium sp. RNAcentral's name for it is "bacterial SSU rRNA". It matches the Rfam family "Bacterial small subunit ribosomal RNA", at positions 1 to 523 of the family's 1533-position model. Lineage: Bacteria; Bacillati; Actinomycetota; Acidimicrobiia; Acidimicrobiales; Acidimicrobiaceae. The record is from RNAcentral.
UAGAGUUUGAUCCUGGCUCAGAACGAACGCUGGCGGCGCGCUUAACACAUGCAAGUCGAACGAGAAGGCGUAGCAAUACGCUUGUACAGUGGCGAACGGGUGAGGAAUACGUGGGUAACCUACCCUCGAGUGGGGAAUAACCAGCCGAAAGGUUGGCUAAUGCCGCGUACGCUUCCCGGUCUGCGGAUCGGGAAGGAAAGCCGUACAAAGUGUGCGGCGCUCAAGGAUGGGCUCACGUCCUAUCAGCUUGUUGGUGAGGUAACGGCUCACCAAGGCCUCGACGGGUAGCUGGUCUGAGAGGACGAUCAGCCACACUGGCACUGCGACACGGGCCAGACUCCUACGGGAGGCAGCAGUGAGGAAUAUUGCGCAAUGGGCGAAAGCCUGACGCAGCGACGCCGCGUGGGGGAUGAAGGUCUUCGGAUUGUAAACCCCUUUCGGGAGGGAAGAUGGGACGAGCAAUCGUUCGGACGGUACCUCCAGAAGCAGCCACGGCUAACUUCGUGCCAGCAGCCGCGGUAA